RNAcentral lists this ribosomal RNA (466 nucleotides) under uncultured bacterium. Its description in RNAcentral is "partial 16S ribosomal RNA". It matches the Rfam family "Bacterial small subunit ribosomal RNA", at positions 329 to 793 of the family's 1533-position model. The record is from RNAcentral.
UUCCAGACUCCUACGGGAGGCAGCAGUGAGGAAUAUUGGUCAAUGGCCGUAAGGCUGAACCAGCCAAGUCGCGUGAGGGAAGACGGCCCUACGGGUUGUAAACCUCUUUUGUCAGGGAGCAAGGGGCAGGUCGUGACCUGCUGUGAGAGUACCUGAAGAAAAAGCAUCGGCUAACUCCGUGCCAGCAGCCGCGGUAAUACGGAGGAUGCGAGCGUUAUCCGGAUUUAUUGGGUUUAAAGGGUGCGCAGGCGGAGGCACAAGUCAGCGGUAAAAUCGCGGGGCUCAACCCCGGUCCGCCGUUGAAACUGUGUCCCUUGAGUGCGCGAAGGGUAGGCGGAAUGCGUGGUGUAGCGGUGAAAUGCAUAGAUAUCACGCAGAACUCCGAUUGCGAAGGCAGCAUACCGGCGCCCAACUGACGCUGAAGCACGAAAGCGUGGGUAUCGAACAGGAUUAGAUACCCGAGUAA